Molecule: ribosomal RNA, 478 nt
Filed under: uncultured bacterium
Lineage: Bacteria
Description: partial 16S ribosomal RNA
Rfam family: Bacterial small subunit ribosomal RNA
Source: RNAcentral
GACGAACGAUGGCGGCGUGCUUAACACAUGCAAGUCGAGCGAUGAAGCUUCUUCGGAAGUGGAUUAGCGGCGGACGGGUGAGUAACACGUGGGUAACCUGCCUCACAGAGGGGAAUAGCCUUCCGAAAGGAAGAUUAAUACCGCAUAAGAUUGUAAUGACGCAUGAUAUAGCAAUUAAAGGAGCAAACCGCGAUGAGAUGGACCCGCGUCGCAUUAGCUAGUUGGUGAGGUAACGGCUCACCAAGGCGACGAGGCGUAGCCGACCUGAGAGGGUGAUCGGCCACAUUGGGACUGAGACACGGCCCAGACUCCUACGGGAGGCAGCAGUGGGGAAUAUUGCACAAUGGGGCAAACCCUGAUGCAGCAACGCCGCGUGAGUGAUGACGGUCUUCGGAUUGUAAAGCUCUGUCUUUAGGGACGAUAAUGACGGUACCUAAGGAGGAAGCCACGGCUAACUACGUGCCAGCCGCCGCCGUAA